Musa acuminata AAA Group (dessert banana) is the source of this 2321-nucleotide RNA transcript. It is a transcript of the gene named polyadenylate-binding protein RBP47-like, with no coding region annotated. The transcript is spliced from 6 exons. The record is from RefSeq and is a predicted model, not a curated record. NCBI's taxonomy places the organism in Eukaryota, Viridiplantae, Streptophyta, Magnoliopsida, Zingiberales, Musaceae.
UUCUCUCUCCCCAAUGCCACUACCUCUCUAGGGUAUGGAUUACAGCCGUUGGUGGUCCGAACCCCAGGCGCCACCGCCGCAUCACCACCCCGAGUCCCACCUCUCCAGCGCACCGCCACCGCAGCACGACCUUCCCCGCCCCGUCGCUGACUCCUCCUACCACUAUCUCUAUCCUAAUCCUCACCCCAACCCUUACCCUCCUAGCGAUCCUGCGACCCCAGUCAGACCUGACGCCCAUCCCAGUCACCACCGGGGCCCCGCCGAUCCCUAUGUCAGUCGCCUCUACGUAACCCGUGGUGUGCACGACGGCCUUCACCCGGCGCCCUACCCUUAUCCUGGACAAGAGCCCGGCCACCGCACGUUCCCCGCAGAUCCCUAUGUCGGUGGCCACUACGCUCCCCGUGGUGGGCACGAGGGCCUUCACCCGGCAUCCUACUCAUAUCGCGGAGGAGAAGGUCCGGCGGGGGUUACCGAGGUGUCGUUGUACGUCCACGGUCGUCGUGGUAGCGAACAACACGGGUGGGGGCGAUUCAUCCGUUUCCUGGCGCUAAUCCACUCAGUCAUAGCGCUGGUCAAUCACAGAUUUCUACGGAAUUUGAAGCUAUGGAGAAUAUGAUUGAUCUCAAUUCUCAUUUUCCUCAGCUCCUGUUUAAUUGAUGGCUUAUUGUCCACUAAAGCAUGCAGUUCCUCAACACAAGGAAUGCUCAUCAAGAAAAUAAUUGCUGUCAAUUUCAACCUUUAAGGGAAUGCAAUUCAUGGGUCGAAUCGUGCUUUCCUGUCCUUUAGAGUCGCAUUUUGACUGCGUAAAGUAAGUCUGUCCAUGAUCAAGUGGUUCGUCUUCGGCAUCAUUGAAUUGGAUGACGUGGACUUGGGCCCAGCCCAGUUACGACCUUUACAUCGAGACGCCGACACAGGUUAAACCGGUACCGAACUCAGUUGUCGCAGUCCGAUAUAAAACGCGGAUCUGGACAAAACCACCGCCCUGGUGCCUUGCCCAGGGCACGAGCACUAAUCGACGGCGAUUACGUCUCUUAUAUUUUGAUCUGACGGUCAAUAUCAAACCUGGCAUCGAAUCCGCCUCCCUAUUUAAACCCUUCGUCGGCCAUCCCACACCCCCAAACCCCCCACCCCCCCACCCGAGAUCUCCCUCUUCUCUCCUUGCUUGCCUCGCCGCCGUCCUCAUCGAAGCGGCGGCGACGAUGCAACCGGUGGCUGGAGUGGAUCCGCGGCGCACCCCGUCGCCCCAGCCUUGGGCGGCGGUGCGGUACCCGGCACCGGCGAUGGUGAUGCAGCACCCUAUGAUGGCGCCACCGCCGCCGCCACCGUCAUACGGGCAUCCCUUCGUUCCCUACCCCCAUCCCCCGACGUCUCCGCCUCAGCCGCCGUCGAUAUCGAACCGCCACCAGCAGGGCGAGGAGGCGGCGGCGGAGGACGAGAAGCGGACGAUCUGGGUGGGGGACCUCCAGUACUGGAUGGACGAAAACUACCUCCUCGGCUGCUUCGUCCAUGCCGGUGAGGUUGUCUCCAUAAAGGUUAUUCGCAAUGAGCAGACUGGACAAUCAGAGGGUUAUGGGUUUGUUGAGUUCCACUCACAUGCAACGGCUGAAAAAAUACUUCAGAGCUUCAGCGGUCAUCUGAUGCCUAACACAGAUCUGCCAUUUCGGUUAAAUUGGGCACCAUUUAGCAUGGGAAAUAAGCGUUCAGAUCUUACUUUCGAUCACUCUAUUUUUGUAGGUGAUUUAGCUUCUGAUGUUACUAAUGCAAUUUUGCAUGAAACUUUUACUACUAAGUACCCAUCAGUAAAAGGUGCAAAAGUUGUUAUUGAUGCUAAUACUGGUCGUUCAAAAGGUUAUGGGUUUGUAAGAUUUGGAGAUGAGAAUAAUAAAAAAGUUGCUAUCACCGAGAUGAAUGAUGUUUAUUGUUCUUCUAGGCCCAUGCGUAUUGGCCUUGCUACACCUAGAAAGUCUUCUGGUGGUCUUGGACCUGAUGGUGCAUCAGCAACCGGCUCCCAGUCAGAUAUAGAUUCAGCUAAGACAACAGUAUUUGUUGGAGGGCUUGAUCCAGAAGUCAGUGAAGAUGAUCUGAAAGAAGCCUUUUCAUAGUAUGGAGAAAUCACCUCUGUUAAAAUUCCAGUUGGAAAACAAUGUGGUUUUGUUCUUUUUUCCCAUAGAAAUAAUGCUGAAGAAGCAUUGCAACAGUUAAAUGGUACAAUUAUUGGCAAGCAAAUAGUGCGUCUAUCCUGGGGUCACAAUCCUGCUAGGCAGGUACUGACUUUUAGAGUUUAAGCUAAAGCAUGUCUAUUAUUUAUCUACAAAAGAAAG